GUACACACACAUAUACUAUGUAAACAAAAACUUUUAUUUUGUAUGCGAUUAAGCGCGAUUAUUCGUUUGACAGAACUACUUUUUUUUAAACAUGA
Long non-coding RNA from Sinocyclocheilus rhinocerous, 95 nucleotides. RefSeq lists it as uncharacterized. The record is from RefSeq and is a predicted model, not a curated record. The transcript has 3 exons. NCBI's taxonomy places the organism in Eukaryota, Metazoa, Chordata, Actinopteri, Cypriniformes, Cyprinidae.